Molecule: ribosomal RNA, 492 nt
Filed under: uncultured bacterium
Lineage: Bacteria
Description: partial 16S ribosomal RNA
Rfam family: Bacterial small subunit ribosomal RNA
Source: RNAcentral
AGUGAACGCUGGCGGUAGGCCUAACACAUGCAAGUCGAACGGCAGCACAGUAAGAGCUUGCUCUUACGGGUGGCGAGUGGCGGACGGGUGAGGAAUACAUCGGAAUCUACUUUUUCGUGGGGGAUAACGUAGGGAAACUUACGCUAAUACCGCAUACGACCUACGGGUGAAAGCAGGGGAUCGUCGGACCUUGCGCGAUUGAAUGAGCCGAUGUCGGAUUAGCUAGUUGGCGGGGUAAAGGCCCACCAAGGCGACGAUCCGUAGCUGGUCUGAGAGGAUGAUCAGCCACACUGGAACUGAGACACGGUCCAGACUCCUACGGGAGGCAGCAGUGGGGAAUAUUGGACAAUGGGCGCAAGCCUGAUCCAGCCAUACCGCGUGGGUGAAGAAGGCCUUCGGGUUGUAAAGCCCUUUUGUUGGGAAAGAAAAGCAGCAGGUUAAUACCCCGCUGUUCUGACGGUACCCAAAGAAUAAGCACCGGCUAACUUCGCG